UAACUGCGUUCCAGCGACCGUCAGCAGCAACACUUCCUCCAGCCGGAUUCCCUCUUCGUCUCAUUCUCAUUCUCGGUUUGAUGGGACAAACUAACUAGCGCUGUAAUAUAAGUGAGAACUUCAACGGUUCAGAAUAAGUGAUUACAAAGCCUCAGCCAUGGCGACAAUAGUGGAUUUCGACCCCCUCAACUCCACAGUACCGGCGACAAAGAUUGAAAUCAGCGUUUCCUGCAGCUCGAGAAGUUGUAUGCCCUUGACUUGAAGCCCCUGCUGCUGAUUGCACAUCCUCUGAAGACACCAGGAACUACAUACAAGACAAAGGUUAUGAUGCCAGUGCAUGCCCACCUUAGCACAUCCGCUAAGACUUGCCUCGAAAAUGUGGAUGCCAUCUACAAAUUGAUGGUUGGAGGUUGGACAAGACUCUCAGAUGAACUAGAGGACCCCCACACUGUGCCACCACUCGAAGACACAUCAAACCAACUACCUCAAGAAGAGUCUUUUAUCUUGCAUUUUGUGACCCAUCUCCCAUCCCCCAUACCCAGCCACAACAGCAGGAAACACCAGAUUCACCACCACCACACCAGGCUCCUUCCAUCCACACACCACCACCACCCCAGGCUCCUUCCAUCCACACACCACAACCCCACCAGGCUCCUUCCAUCCACACACCACAACCCCACCAGGCUCCUUCCAUCCACACACCACAACCACACCAGGCUCCUUCCAUCCACACACCACAACCACAACAGGCUCCUUCCAUUCAGGAACCACCACAGCAGGGUCGACAGCGACAGAAAAGAGCCAAAAAGUUAAAGAUUGCCCUCACAACCAGCUUGACAUGUUCCCAGUCAGUGAAAUAAUAAAGACAAGGAUCAGAAAGGGGAGGAUGGAACACCUUUAUAACUGGCAGCCCUGCACUCUAUGUGGAAAGACAUGGUCUCCAUCCUGGCAGCCAGCAAACAUCCAGCAUACAUUGCACACUUAAAAAAAACGUUGGGCUAUUAUUGAUUAGUUUGUUGUUACCGUUUUAUGCACAAUAACAUUAUCAUUAUAUAAAAUGUUUAAAACGGGCAGAUAUUUACUGCAAUACAUGUAAUUUGAGAAACAUUUUGACCUUGUUUUAUGGUUUUCUUUUGAGCAUGUUGCAGCUGCUCUAACCUGUAUGGAUUUAAUAAAGUCAAAACAAAUUUGAUGGACUUUUUUAUGACCUGUGUUUGCAUUGUUCUGUGGCUCCUGACAAUUUCACAGCUGAAUUGCAUAUCUGUGAACUGAUA
Molecule: long non-coding RNA, 1274 nt
Organism: Perca fluviatilis (European perch)
Lineage: Eukaryota; Metazoa; Chordata; Actinopteri; Perciformes; Percidae
Exons: 6
Source: RefSeq, a predicted model, not a curated record